Molecule: ribosomal RNA, 253 nt
Filed under: uncultured bacterium
Lineage: Bacteria
Description: partial 16S ribosomal RNA
Rfam family: Bacterial small subunit ribosomal RNA
Source: RNAcentral
UACGAAGGGGGCUAGCGUUGCUCGGAAUCACUGGGCGUAAAGGGUGCGUAGGCGGGGCUUUAAGUCAGGGGUGAAAUCCUGGAGCUCAACUCCAGAACUGCCUUUGAUACUGAAGAUCUUGAGUUCGGGAGAUGUGAGUGGAACUGCGAGUGUAGAGGUGAAAUUCGUAGAUAUUCGCAAGAACACCAGUGGCGAAGGCGGCUCACUGGCCCGAUACUGACGCUGAGGCACGAAAGCGUGGGGAGCAAACAGG